Long non-coding RNA from Leucoraja erinaceus (little skate), 854 nucleotides. RefSeq lists it as uncharacterized. The record is from RefSeq and is a predicted model, not a curated record. NCBI's taxonomy places the organism in Eukaryota, Metazoa, Chordata, Chondrichthyes, Rajiformes, Rajidae. The transcript has 5 exons.
UGGGGCGGAUCGGAUUCACAGCUUGGGAUUCGUUGAAGUGAAACAAAAACACCAGCCCUAUUGCUCCGAAUGGAACAGCAAAGACAGAAGUUGUGAGAUCCAAAGAUCUUAGAGCUCUGCUCUAAGGUCUUUGGUGAGAUCGACACGGAAAUCCAGGCAGAAAAGACCUGCGAUGUUGAGAGACACAUAAUUUUGGGACGUUUGUCAUCAUCAUGGCUGAAGAUGCUGAUUGUGGAGUGGAUGCAGUGACGUCUACAUCAAGUAAACAGACAGAGCUACAGAGUUUGUGAUCGUCUGUCCACAUCAUGGCUGAAGGUGGUACCUGGGGAGGUGAUUCAGUGGCCUCCACAUCAAAGAAACAAAAAGGUGGGAAAUUAACUCAAGUGGGAAAGGUCUUCAAAAGGCUUUGGACAGGCACCUCAUCAAAAGAAGAUGGUCAGAACACAGGAACAACGACAAAAAAGCAAAGUCGGAUUGAGUGCAGAACGUCAAUGGAAUGUGAACCCGCCGAAGAGGAAAGGGAACAAUGUCAGUCCCGAGGGCAAGGGAUAGGGGACGUGGUUCACGACCCUGGAACUGACCCAAGUGGCAAAAUCCAUCAUGACCGAGAUUCAUCAAACAAGGAAUCAUCGAGUCUCAUCCAAGGAGCAGAGCAGCAUAAUAUGGUAACACCUAUCCACACCACGGCUGAAGUUGGAAACAGGACUGCAGCUCCAGAGACCUCAACAAAUAGGACUGACACAGGUGUGUUGCAGAAUUCUUCACGAUAUAAAUGUUGUCGAUAUAUGGUUUGCAUCAGAGUCGUAGAGGCACACGGCAUAGAACAAGGCUCUUCAGCCCACCUUGGACACGGC